Oreochromis aureus is the source of this 1060-nucleotide long non-coding RNA. RefSeq lists it as uncharacterized. The record is from RefSeq and is a predicted model, not a curated record. Lineage: Eukaryota; Metazoa; Chordata; Actinopteri; Cichliformes; Cichlidae. The transcript has 5 exons.
CAAAAAUAAAAUCUACUGCAAAGUGGCGGAUGAAAACGGGAAGAAGCUCUCUGUGGAAGUGGCCAUUAUGCUGAAACUUGCAGGUGAAGCAGAAGGGUCAGUGGGAACAUCAGCACCUGUGUCCUUGCUGGAGUGGUUCGACCUUGGCAAAGAACUGAUCCUGGUGCUGGAGAGACCUGUCCCGCUGUGGACCUGCAAAAAUACAAAGCAGAAAAUGGAAGAACUUUACCAGAGGACAAGGCCAAGGUCAUUCUGAAGCAACUAGUUGAUGCUGCAAAGGAACUUGAGGAUAAAAACAUCUUUCAUCGGGACAUCAAGGGAGAAAACAUUCUGAUUGAGACCGGCUCAGAUGUGCCUCGUGUUCGCAUCAUUGACUUUGGACUGAGCUGCUUUGUUAAGCAGCGAUCUCUGUAUCGCGUCUUCUAUGGUACUCCUCUUCACACCCCUCCCGAGUGGUACAGGAGGAGCUGCUACAGGUGUGGACCCACCACGGUGUGGCAAAUGGGAGUGGUGCUGUAUGAAGCGGUUCAUGCACGGGACUUUGAUACCGAGAGGUUCCUCAGCAAGAAACUGAGCAUCAAAAAGCGUCUGUCCACAAAAUGCCGGAAUUUCUUGGAAGCAUGCUUAACUAAAGUCCCGGAGAAGCGCCCAACACUGGAGGAGCUCCAGCAUCACCCCUGGCUAAGAUAACACACACACAAACACACAAAUCACACAAUUCACAUCUUAUCAUGCAAGUGUGAUACAUUGUAGUAACUUGCUUUCUGUUUUCUGUUGGACAGGAAUAGAUAGAAUGGGACAAUUAAAAACAAAAUCAAAAUUUUUCUUUCUUGGAGUUCCUGUAACCCCUCCAGCCAUCCCAGGAAAGGGGAUCUCUCUUUGAAUGGGCUUUCCCGAGGUUUCUUCCCAUCAAUCUGGCCCCCUGGGGAGUUUUUCCUCGUCUUCAUAGAGAGCUUGGGCUGGGUCAGGUGCUCCCUCAAAACUGUCUUUAUUUGAUGACAUCAAAUAAAGAUGUUUUACUUAAAGUAAAAUUUGAUCAAAAUAAAACUUGUUUAAUUUA